UCUGUGCUCAGUGUGUCGCGCUUCUCACNCCAUCUCUCGCCUGGGGGUGUGUUCCUCCUCCACNCGUGAGCAGUGUGACCCACUUCUCGUUUUUGUCCAUUAUAUCCCUCUGUCUCAUUUUCACUGUUCUCAAUCUCUCNCCGAUUCGGCGAG
Molecule: ribosomal RNA, 153 nt
Filed under: Androctonus australis garzonii
Lineage: Eukaryota; Metazoa; Arthropoda; Arachnida; Scorpiones; Buthidae
Description: 5.8S ribosomal RNA
Source: RNAcentral